RNAcentral lists this long non-coding RNA (40744 nucleotides) under Vitis vinifera (wine grape). Its description in RNAcentral is "long non-coding RNA (VVIN_LNC006009)". Lineage: Eukaryota; Viridiplantae; Streptophyta; Magnoliopsida; Vitales; Vitaceae. The record is from RNAcentral.
UGGGAAAGAGACUAGCUUUAGGCAGUUUUAGAUACAUGGUUCCAGGAUAAUUUGGCGAACUGAAUCCAUUAAGCAAGAGGGUCUUUGGGUAACAACCGUAAAGGCCGUCGCUAAAAUUUAGCAGGAAGGCCUUGCAUUUGCACAACUGUAAGCAUAGAUUUUCACAGCUUUCAUAGGUGUAAUUGGGGUAGUGACCAUAGUCAUAGCCGUAGAGUUGAACAUGAGGGAGUGGGAAGAAGCCCACCUCAGUUUGGUUACAAGCGAUAUCAGUUUCUGGUGCGCACCCAUAAGACCAGUCAGUUGAAUUUACAAUCUUGAAUCCAGGCAUGCAAGAGCAUCCUCUGCCAUAAGCAGGGGUGUAACUGCAGAGACUGUUGGGUCCGCAGAUGCCAUGAAUCUGGCAUGGUUGGGAGAUAGCCUGCCAUGAAACCGACCAGGUUCCUCUCGUUUCUUCUAGACUAUACAUUCUAAGAUUGCCAUCGAAAUCGAGGGCCAAUCUUCUCUGAGGCCCCGCACCAAAAUCCGCUGACCGAAAUUCCAAAUCAUCUGAUGCUCUAUAAUAACCCAAAGAAUCGAAUACUGCGAUUCGACUGUUGUUGUAUGUGCUUCUUCCAGCAUCCCAGGUCACCAGGCUUGGGUCUGGCCAGUAGAUGCUGGAAACCUCAGUACCAUUGAAGAGAAGGCGGAUGACGUUAUCACUGUCAAAAAAUAGCUUAUAAAAACCAGAAGAAUAGUUGCUUUGGCUUCUUGAGGAGAUAAGGCUGGUAUCUUUGGUCAGUAUCUGGUGAGGAAGAAGAGUAUCUGUGGGUGAGUCAAAGCUCUGCCAAAUCACCGUCUUCUCCCAAGCAUAUAGAACAAGAUUGCCGGUGUUAAGGAGCUGUAAUCUCGCAGAUGAGGUUGAAACGGUGUUGAUCAUCCAAACCAUGAUUUUACCAGCAUCAGUUAAGAGGAGAUUGCCAUUCCUCAACAAAGAAAGCUUGGAGCCUCUACCGUUGACCGGUUGGUCACGGUUCGCCAUCCAAACUGUGGUUGCACCCCAUGAUUUUGUAAACCAUAUGGCGAAGCAGAAAGUGUUGUUGCCGACCUGAUAAAACCCAGCAGAGAAUAUACCAUUUGCUGAAAUGAGAAGAUCAUUUGAUUUCUCCACGGAAAGAGACGAGCCUUCGCUCAGAGUAUCAUACGUUUCAGAUGAAGAUGGAUAGCAAGUUAAUAGCAAAGCCAAAACAAAGAAACCAACUGUCCUAUCCAUGAGUUUUGGGAUAUGGUUUAUGUGCUCUGUUUCCUGAUCAGAUAUUUGCAAUGGAGAAUGCAAGUGUACGGUGCUACCAGAGUUUAGAAAAUAAAUUGACUCCUUGACUGGGGUGAAGGGGGGAAAUUCACAUUGCCCCUCGGGCCAAGUUUUGCUUGUGCCAUCGUGUUGGGUUUCUAAAAGCAUUUCAUGUCAACGUCAAAAUAAUGGGAUGAAGACCCGCUAUUUUUAAUGGGAUCUAUUUUGAUUGGAUGACUUGGGCCAUUCAAAUUUUGUAGUUUCCACUUGGAACAACAAAAUUAUUAUGAGAUACGUCAUUUUGAAGAAAGAUUCUAGAAAUAAGAUGUUAAAUUGAUCUCUUUUCCAUGUAGCUGAACUCGUCAACUGUGAGUCUGAGCCAUAUGAUUUCUGUGCCAUACAGAAGCUUAUUGUUCCAAGUUGCCUGUUCAAAGGUUGACCUGUGAACAGUUUGGAUCCAAAUACAAUGAAUGUGAUGAAAUUUACUGAAACCGGGACUCUCUGACUGGCCUGUGGCCUUUAUGAGUUUUAUUUUAGAGGUGACGUCUGAUGUUGAUUGGCCCAAGCAGGGAAAGAUCAAAUGGGAAACGACGGUCACAACUUGUGGGGUGACUUACCAUUCACCAAGUAACACUUCAAAGAAAUUAAUCGAGCCAAUGGAUUUCACAAGUUCCCUCUUUGCAGAAUUUUGAAUAUUUAAAAAGAAUCUUAACUUUUAAAACCUAAAUUUAUAGUUAAUUUUUAGGUGUAAUUGUGUUUUGGAUGUAGUUGGACCAAAAAAAUUAAGUUUUGAUUCAUAUAAGUUUAUCAUUUAAGUCCAAUACUUAAAGAAAGUAUGAAAAUUAAAAAAAAUGAUAUGAAUUUUUUAUCUUUCUAAAAAUGAUAUUUAUUGACUAUGAAAAAAAUAAGUAGAAAAACAUUAAUUUAAAUUUUAUUCUUUUUAUAAACUUCAAUAAAAUUUAAUUUCAUUUAAUGAUUUGAAAAAAAAAACACCAUUUUAAAAAAAAUAAUAAUAAAUUAUUAUUAUUAUUAUUAUUAUUUAAAAAUCAAACAUAUUGAAAAAAAUAUAUUUUUAAAAUUAUAUAUGUAAAAAAUAACUAAAAACAUGUCAAAAUUUUUUUAAAAAUGAUAUAUUUUUAGAAUAUUUUUUUUUAAAAAAAAUAGUUUUCUUAAAAUAAUAAAUUUUCAGAAUAAUUAUUAAAAAAAAUUAAGAUAAAAAAGUUUGUCAAACAUUAUAAUAGAAAACACUCAAAAUAGUUUUGAAGGGUAUAUGAGUGUUUUCAUAUUUUAUAUCCUUCCCCUUGAUUAUGCCCAGAUAGAUCCAAAACAUUAUUAUCCCUAAUUUUUAAACGCUUAAUUAUUGCGAUUUGAGGGUAAAACAUUUUCUUUUAUUCAAUCAAGAUUGAAUUUAAAAUAAUAGCGUUGGUAUUACUCCCUCUCUUUUAUCCUUUUCUUAUUCUAUCUAAUAGUUGUUUUCUCGCCGCCUUUGUGGGCCAAGAUGAACUAAUGCUAAGAAUUUUAUUCAUCUGCUUUCUUUCAAGACUCACUUAUUGAAUAUAAUAUCUCAAUAAAUAUGGAACCUGAUUUUGAUUAUAUUGGUACAAUUAUUGAUACAACUGUUGGCUCCGCUCAUUUUGAUUAUAUUGGUACAAUUUUAUUCAUCCUAACCUCUAUGUCAACAGGACCACUAAACUUAAGAAAAAACACUAAAUUUUGAAUUUUUAACUUCUAAAAAAAAACACCCGACCCGACUACCUAAUCUAAAUGUUUUCCUUUCUCAUUUGAAAGUUUUCUCUCAUCUUUUUUCACUCAUGACAACCCAAAAUUUCUCUUAUUUCAAUUUAGAAACCCAAAACUGAAACUCCAAAGCGGUGUCAAAAUGCCUCUUUCGACAUGCCUCUGGCUGAGACGCCUCAGCUAGGCGCUUGCCUUGAGCCCUAACUACAGUUAACUCUCGUCUAGGAGCUAUGGGAGUCUAAGACAAUUCGGUAAAAACGAAAUAGAGCUCAGAUGGAGAGAGUAGAUGCCCAAAAACUAAAACCCUAACCUCCAAAUGCGUCCUAAACUCGCAAAUUCGUAUUCAAUAUAGCUUUAUCAGACAUAAAUAGCACCAAACAUCUCUCUUAGACCACCGAAUCGACAAAGCCCUUGAAGAACCAAAGGAAACGGUGCAAAAAAUGAAGCGCAGGAGACUUUUAAAGUAUUGGGUGUUGACGAACUUGUUGAUCGAACCUUGAUCGGUCACCUUUGGUAUUUUGGUGACUGCACCUUAGAUACUACCUUAACUAACCUUUGGUACUACCUUAGUUAAACUUGAAUACUACUUGUGUGAAACCUCAGAACUUCAUUUGUGGAUAUGACUCACUUCAUUUGUGACCUUUAGAGCAUGUCAUUUUGUAAUUAAUUAGUGUGGUCAAUUGGUUCACCUUUUGUAUUUUAGUGACUGUACCUUAGACAUUACCUUAAUAGCCCUAAGAUAUAACCUUAAUUUACCUUAAAUACUACCUUAAUUGACCUUAGGUACUACUUUAGUUAAGCUCAUUCAACUUUCUAAGAGCAAGUUGGUGUCCUUUUCAGUUUUAGACAUAAAAUAGGUCAACCGGUUAUCCUUUCUCGAUCAAGGUUUGGUUGAGAAUGAAGUAAGUAAUAUCCACAAAUGAAAUUCCGAGGCUUCAGAUAGGUAGUACCCAAGUUUUACUAAGGUAGUACAUAAGGUUGGUUAAGAUAGUAUCUAAAAAAAAUAUAUGCCAUGAUAAAAGAAAUCCACCAUGAUAAUCCGUUGGGAGAAAAAUCGAUAGAAAAUCGGUAAUUUCACUGAAAAAUCAACGAAAUCUCGGUGAUAAGUUGGGAUGUAUGGCAACUUUGGGCAAUCAGUGGUAUAAAAAAAAUUGUGGUGAAAUAUUAGCAACCCAUUUUUUUGGUGGCAGUUUUUUUUUUUUUUUUAAUUUUAUAAUUUAUCCUGUUUUUAAAAUUUUUAAUUAUUCAUUUUUAAUUUAUCAUUUCAUUUUUAACUAUUUUUUAUAUUUAUCACAUUAAUUUUAUUUAAAAAAAUUACUAUCACUUCACUCUUAAUUUUUCUUAUAUUUAUCCUUUUAAUUUUAUUUAAUUUUAAAUGUUUUUGUUUUAAAAUAUUAAAAAUAUAAUUUUACUAAAAAAUUGUUACAAUAAAAAAAAUUAAUGAAGUUCUAAUAUUUUAUAAAUUAAAAUUAAUUUAAUAAAACAAAUUAUUAAUAAUUUUAAUUAUUAAAAUAAAUUAAUUUUAAUAGAAAAAGUUGUCAAUAUUUGUAAUAAAAUUUUAGAAAUUAAAUCUUAAAUAAAAUAUGUUAUAUAAAUCAAUUUAAUUUUUUAUUUACAAUGUAAUAAAACAUGGUUUAAUAAAAAUAUUUUUAAAAUGUUAAAAUAAAUUAAUAUAAAUAUAUUAAAGGAAAUUAAGCUAUUUUUUUAUGAAAAUUUGAUAAAUAUUAUCUUUAAUCAUGUUUGGUAGUUACAAAAUAAUUUUAAUAUAUAUAUUUUUUUAUUUCAUCAUAUUUUUGAAAGCUUUUUAUAUGAAUUUUGAACUACUUGUGUUUGAUAUGAUAUUUUUGUCAAAAUAUUCAUCGAUAUUUAUUCGAUAUUUUCGAUAUAUCCAUAAAAUUUAAAUACCAUGUAUCCAUAUUUAACGAUAUAUUUCUAACAUUUGAGUUGAUGGGAAAUGUGAAUGAGAUUAAGAAAAAUAGAGAAUGUUGAGUUUUAAUUGGUUAUAAGAAAUGAAAUAAUUCUCAAAUCCAAAAUUUAACGAUUCCCAUAUUUUUUUUGUGGAAAAAUAACUUUUUUUUUUAUAUAUAUAUAAAUGUUAUUUUUUAUUUCAAAUAUAAUGUGAAUGAGAUUAAGAAAAAUAGAGAAUGUUGAGUUUUAAUUGGUUAUAAGAAAUGAAAUAAUUCUCAAAUCCAAAAUUUAACCAUUUCCAUAUUUUUUUGUGGAAAAAUAACUUUUUUAUAUAUAUAUAUAUAUAAAUGUUAUUUUUUAUUUCAAAUAUCUAUAUAUAAGUUUUAAAAAAAAUAAUUAUUUUUAUAAGAAAAUAAUGAGGAUAUUUUUAUCUAAAUGAUCUCAAAAAAAAAAAUACCUAAAGAUAUUUUUGUAUGAUGUCUUGUCCAUCAUAAAAAAAAUUACUCAGGGAGGGUGUAGUUUGGUAAAGAGACCGAGCUCGUGGAUGGAAGCUCUGGCCCACAUCCGAAGAUUUCAUAACGACGUAUAAAGUAUAAACUAUCCUAGGCCUUCGCUUAUAACUUCAUUUGUGUGUUCCUUCCCAGAAUUUGAUUCAAGGUUCGCCCUACAGCCUUUUCAGCUGAUCCAAUUUCAUAGAUUACAUGGAUGCGCCAGUUCUUUUGCUUCUUCUCGCUCUGCUUCUAUCUUCUCCACUUCCAUCGUCUACCCUCGACAGUUUGAGUCAAGGCUCAUCCCUAUCAGUUGGGAAGCCUGAACAAGUUUUAAUUUCACAAAGUAGAAUCUUUUCAGCCGGCUUCUACCCCGUCGGUGACAAUGCUUAUUGUCUUGCCAUGUGGUUCACCAAACCAUCCUACGACGGGAAACAUACGGUUGUUUGGAUGGCAAACCGAAACCAACCAGUUAAUGGGAAUUUCUCAAAGCUUUCCCUGCUAAAAAAUGGUGAUCUUAUCUUAACAGAUGCCGGGCGGUUCAUAGUUUGGGCCACAAAGACGGUUGGGAUUUCUCCGGUGCGAUUACAUCUCUUCAAAUAAAAUACUUGACAGUGGCAUGUUGUGUUGGACCCUUGUAGUUGUUGGUUGUACAGGGCGGAUCCGCUUGAUUAGCUUUUGUAGCAUAUUGUAAGCAUGCAUGGCUCUCAAAAUCUUAAGAGACAGAAAUGAAAUUUACUCUAAUAAUAUAUAUAGACACGUAAAGAUAAAAAUAUACUAUUAUCCUUUUUCAUAUAGUAUUGUAUCUUGUAUAGAAUACAUAAUCACUUGAAGUAAUUGUAUUACCCAAUAAAUUGUACCUAGUUUUAGUGACGUAACCAACAAUUUGAUUUAAGGGUGGCAACUAUUAAUGCAUAUAUAGGCCUUAGCUCAAUAGUCAAGACUUGUUAUUGUUAAGGGAGACAUUAUCUGUCUUGAGUUCAAAUUCUUAUAUUGUAAAAAUUGAAUCUUUUAUUUUUUAGCAUUUUCAUGAGGAGAGAUGACCCCCAUAGGCUCUAUCUGGCUCUAUGUCAAUGCCUAGUUUAUUGAUCGAUGGUGUUUGAAUCUAUUUAUUUUUUAUUCUUAACAUUUUCAAGGGGUAGGUGCCCCUUAGGCCUUACCCAGCUCUACUUGUAUCUAGUUUAUUGAUUGAUGGUGUUUGAAUCUAUUCAUUAUAAAAUUUUCUUAUUUUUUAUUUUAGUUAAUAUUUUAUUUAAAUUGUUAAGCUUGUUUUCAAUGAUUAAAAUAAAUAAAAACAGCAUGCAUUAUUAAUUUAUUACGUCAAGUACAAUAAAAUAAGAAAAUAAUAUACUUGGCUAAAUAAGUUCAUUCAAUAGUAUUUCAGAAAGUAACUUUCAAAUGAUAAGGAAGUAACAAUAUUACACAAAAAAAAAAAAGUUCUCUGAGGUUAAAUUAUAUCUUAUAUUUAAUUAUUAAUAAAAAUAGAAUAGUCAAUUGUACUUUUAUUCAUACCUCAUAUUACUAUAUUAGAUGAUAAGCCAGUAUAGAUAGAUUAAUACUAUGAUUGGUUUCAAAAAAUUAUUAAGAAAAGAAAAAGAAUAUUAAGAAAAAUAGGUUUUUAAUAUCUUAUUUUAGUAUAAAAAUAAAAAAUAAGAUAUAAUUAAAAUUAAUUAAAAACUUACAUAUUUUUAAAUUAUUUGAUAUUUAUAUAAAAAAUAAUAUAUUAACUUAAAUGAGUUUAAGAUGGUAUAUAAAAUAAUUUAUCAGCUUUAAAUUUUUUUUUUUUUUACUUUUACAUGAUACUUAAAAAGGUAUAUAAAUAGAGAAACAGUAUACUAAAUAAAAUAAUUUUAUCUAUAUAUAAAAAUAAUUUAUUAAUUUAAAAUCUAUUUUUAUUUCCUUUUAACUUUUCUUUCCUUUCUUUUUCCAUAUUUUCCAAAUACUUCACAGAGCACUCCACUCCCUUUUUUUUUUUCUUUUUUUUUUCUUUUUUACCUCAAAAUUUCAGAAACCAAACAUAAAAAUACAAACACAGGUGUAAAGUUUGUAUCUUUGUGAAACUCAUGUAAUCCUGACCCAUGGGAACCUUCCCAUACAAUUAAUUUCCUGCAAAGGAAGGCGGCAGCAACAUGUCAUUGGGUGAGCGUCUUAGGAGACAAAAUCUGACCAGCGGUUGAAGGAAAAAUGCACAAUUUAACUUAUCUGUGGAAGCUUGCCCAGCUGGGUCGUUUUCCAAAACACGAGGCUGCAGCUUGGAACCUGGGGCAUUCAUAUUCCAUCAUCAUCAUUAUUAACAUUUUUAUUCCAUCUAGCUUUCACCUUCCCAUGGGAAUUGCUACCAUCCGCACAAGUCAAGAGCGACUUUGUCUUUUCCAUAAAUAUUAGUAUUAUUUGUGUGUUCCUUCCCAGAAUUUGAUUCAAGCUCAGCCCUACGGCCUUUUCAACUGAUCCAACUUCAUAGAUGACAUGGAUGCGCCAGUUCUUUUGCUUCUUCUCACUCUGCUUCUAUCUUCUCCACUUCCAUCGUCCACCCUCGACAGUUUGAGUCAAGGCUCAUCCCUCUCAGUUGGAAAGCCUGAACAAGUUUUGAUUUCACAAAGUGGAAUCUUCUCAGCUGGCUUCUACCCCGUCGGUGAUAAUGCUUAUUGUCUUGCCAUAUGGUUCACCAAACCAUCCUACGACGGCAAACAUACCGCUGUUUGGAUGGCAAACCGAAACCAACCAGUUAAUGGGAAUUUCUCAAAGCUUUCGCUGCUAGAAAGUGGUGAUCUUAUCUUAACAGAUGCUGGGCGGUUCAUAGUUUGGACCAUAAAGAGGGUUGGGAUUUCUCCGGUGCAAUUACACCUCUUCAACACUGGUAACCUUGUGCUGCGUACCUCGGAUGGUGUUAUUCAAUGGCAAAGUUUCGAUUCACCAACAGAUACCCUUCUCCCUCACCAACCACUCACCAGAAAUACGAGACUCGUCUCUUCAAGAACCAAAACCAACUUUUUCUCAGGGUUUUAUAAGCUCUAUUUUGACAACAAUAACGUCCUCAGUCUUGUCUUCGAUGGGCGGGACGCUUCAAGCAUUUACUGGCCCCCAUCGUGGCUUGUAAGCUGGCAGGCGGGAAGAUCGGCAUACAACAGCAGCAGAACUGCAUUACUAGAUAACUUUGGCUAUUUUUCUUCAUCCGACGAUUUUAAGUUUCAGUCCUCGGAUUUUGGUGAGAGAGUCCAAAGAAGAUUGACCCUGGAUAUUGAUGGCAACUUACGAUUAUACAGUUUUGAGGAAAGGAGAAAUAAGUGGGUUGUUACUUGGCAAGCCAUCACGCUACAAUGCAACAUUCAUGGAAUAUGCGGACCCAACAGUAUUUGUACCUAUGUGCCUGGUUCUGGGAGUGGAAGGAGAUGCUCUUGCAUACCUGGAUAUGAGAUGAAAAAUCGCACUGACCGAACUUAUGGAUGCAUACCUAAAUUCAAUCUUUCUUGCGACUCACAGAAGGUUGGUUUCCUCCUACUCCCACACGUUGAGUUCUACGGCUAUGAUUAUGGCUAUUACCCCAAUUACACCUUACAGAUGUGUGAAAAACUGUGCUUGGAAAUAUGUGGCUGCAUAGGAUAUCAAUACAGCUAUAAUUCGGAUGUUUAUAAAUGUUAUCCUAAGCGGCUGUUGCUCAACGGAUACCGCUCGCCUAGUUUUGUAGGACAUAUAUACCUAAAAUUGCCUAAAGCUAGUCUUCUUUCCUAUGAAAAACCGGUUAAGGAAUUCAUGUUAGAUUGCUCUGGCAACCGCUCAGAGCAGCUAGUAAGAUCUUAUGCAAAAGCCCACGAAAAUGAAGUGUUAAAGUUCAUCCUCUGGUUUGCGUGCGCAAUUGGAGCAGUUGAGAUGGUUUGCAUUUGUAUGGUGUGGUGUUUCUUGAUGAAGGCCCAGCAAAACACCAGUACAGAUCCGCCAGGCUACAUUUUAGCUGCCACGGGAUUCAGAAAAUUCACCUAUACUGAGCUGAAGAAAGCAACACGGGGUUUCAGUGAGGAGAUUGGCAGAGGAGGAGGUGGGGUUGUAUACAAAGGUGUCUUAUCAGACCACCGAGUGGCAGCCAUCAAGCAGCUCAGUGGAGCUAACCAAGGAGAAUCUGAAUUCUUGGCAGAAGUAAGUACCAUUGGGAGGCUUAACCACAUGAACUUGAUAGAGAUGUGGGGUUAUUGCUUUGAGGGGAAGCACAGGCUCUUGGUUUAUGAAUACAUGGAGCAUGGAUCACUAGCACAAAACCUCACUUCCAAUACACUUGAUUGGCAGAAGAGGUUCGACAUUGCGGUGGGCACAGCAAAAGGCCUGGCUUAUUUACACGAAGAGUGCUUGGAGUGGGUUCUACACUGCGAUGUGAAGCCUCAAAACAUACUCCUAGACGUUAAUUAUCAGCCAAAGGUGGCAGACUUCGGCCUGUCAAAGUUACAGAACAGAGGAGAAAUCAACAAUUCGAGAUUGUCGAGGAUCAGAGGAACAAGAGGUUACAUGGCUCCAGAAUGGGUUUUGAACCUCCCCAUCACCUCCAAAGUAGACGUUUAUAGCUAUGGUAUUGUGGUUCUGGAGAUGGUUACCGGCCGAAGGAGUGCUUCAAUGGCCAUCCACGGUACAGAUGGCAUAGGGGAACGUCAGAGUUUGGUGGCAUGGGUGAAAGGGAAGAUGAAUGGAGCAACUGCGGUUGCUUCGUGGAUGAAAGAAAUCCUAGACCCGUCGAUGGAAGGCGAAUAUGACAUGGGUGAGAUGGAAAUUCUAGUAGCAGUGGCUUUGCAAUGUGUGGAAUUGGACAAGGAUGAAAGACCCACCAUGAGUCAGGUGGUCGAGACGCUUCUCCGCCCCGAACGUGGAAACAAUCAUCACUACUAAUAAAUUAAUGCCUCGUAUGGGGCCCAAGUGAGGUGGCUUUCUGUACCUGUUCCGCCCAUUUAUGAUAUUUGUAAAAAGACAGUAAUUUUAAGUAGAAUAAUUGAGAAGCCGAAUCUUUUGAUACAACAUACAAUAUAAUUAUAUUGAAGUAUCUUUUUAAAAGAUACAACUUGGUUAUAAAUUUUAAUGUCAAUCUUCUCGAAUGUUAAGUAAAAAAUUGUUUAAUUUUUUUAGAAAAUCUUUAAUAUUAUGUCACUAUAUUUAAAGUAUUUUUUAAGAGGUUAUCAAAAUUUGAUAUUAUUUUUUAAUUCAAAUUUAUAAUUAUAAUUUAUAAAUAGUUUUUUAAUUAUUAUAAAAUACCGGACUUCUUACUAGAUCAAUUAGAAUGGACGAUCAUCUAUUCCUCUAUAUCUCUUCAAUAUUGUUGCUAUCCUCCUCCCAACUUUAUAUAAAAUAAAAAUUUUACUAAUAAAUAUUACAUGGAAUUUUGUUCCCAAUAUCUCUCCUUCGUACUCUUAUCUUAUUAAACUCUUCUUUUACAAUAUUAAUUGAUAUAUUUUAGGUAUUUGUAUGUUAGUGAAUUAAUUUAAAUAUCGUAGGUUUUGACUUUUGGGACAACCAUUUUAGAGAGCUCAUACAUCACGCACUACCACCUCAACCUUCUUUGACAUUCAUUUAUUUAUUUUUAUUACCUUUCGAUCGGUGAUAUCAUUGCUUAGGAACAAUAAUUAUUGUGAAGGCAUUUUAUCUUUUUCGUUUACCCAAGAAUAAUCAUACUAAUAUAAACAAAUAAUUUUGAUCAUGCACAAAUAAAUAUAUUUUUAUAAAAUUUAGAUUUAAUUUUUUAGUAUAUGACAUAGAUUCUUCUUCUUCUCCUUUGCUAAAUCUCAUGUGGUUGGAUUUGGAGCAUCGACUGUACGUAUUAUUCAAUUGUGAAAGACAAAUUUCAUUGAGUUGAAAGACCAAUGGGCCAUGGACGCAAUGCUUGCUUCACUUAAUUUUUUAAAACUCGUUUUUAGUAGUACAAAUUUUUUUAUUAUAUAAAGUAUUGAUGUUAUUAUCUUUUUAUAUUAAUUUUAUUUUUCUUCCAUUUUUUAUAUUGAUUUUAUAAAAACAUAUCUUGGGAUAUUAUUUCACUAAAAACAUAUCAUAUGCAUAACCGUUUAACAUGCAAUUUUUUCAUACAUAAUCAAAGAUAGACUUUUUUUUCCUUUUACUUUUUUUCCUUCUUUUUUUUUUUUUGGUAUUUUGUCGUAAACAAACACGGUCUUAGAAUUUAAUCACAAACAAAGUAUUAUGUUACUUUUAAUCAAAUUUAAGGACUUGGCAUGCCUGUCAUGUACUUUAGACACAAAUGAAAAGUUUGAGGUCUCCUAUUGAAAAUUUAAUUCAUUCCAGUAUACCAUAUUAUUAUUAUUAUUAUUAUUUUGGUGAUCAUGGGUAUAAAUAUUACUAGGAAAAAAGGCAAAUUGACGUAAUAGAAGGCCUAACGGCUCAUGUUUUGUAUUUAUUUAAAUUAGUAUUUAUUAAUCAUUUAUUGAUGUGAUAAAAAAUUUGUAAUUCAAAAUUUGAUUUUAUCAAGUGAAGUACCCGAUAAACAGAAACGGAGGAACCUAAAGGGAGGGAAAAAAAAAAGGUGAAAUGAAGACACAUCCAAAAACCCUAAUGGCCUAUUGUCACACCCUCGAAAAUCACCUUAAAUUUUUCUUACGAGUGCGUGGUGCUAAGGACCCGUCCUUAGCCAACCUUCCCUUCCCAACGUUUAGAAGAACAGAAUAGAAUACAGAAAUCAAAGCAACAGGGACACACGAGGUUGCAGGAAAAUCCUUUCCCAACUUGUAUUAAUCACUCUUACAAGACAAAAUUGCUUCUUGAACUAGAGUACAAUGCACUUACCCAAGGCAUACAAGAAGGAAUCCUUUCCCCAACUCUCACCCUCUGUUUCAAGGCUGCAGGAGCCCUAUUUAAAUGACUCAUCUACAGUUACACAUUUGAAUUCCCUCAAUUCAAAUCUUGGAGCCAACUAGGUGGUCAUGCAACUGGCCAGAACUGCCCUCAACUGCUUGCACAACCACCCACUGUGGAUUCGGCUCCUUGCGACACGUGGCAUCGCGCAUUUCACCCGGACGGAAAUUCUCCCUUAUUCCACCCGAAUAUCUCAUAUCCGGAAUUCUGUCCGCUGACGUUCCACUCGGAUAUCUCACAUCCGGCGCCUGUCCGCCGCCGUUCCACUCGGAUAUCUUACAUCUGGCGCCUGUCCACCGUUGUUCCACCCGAAUAUCUCUCAUCCGACGCCCCAUGUCAUCGGAUAGGAGAGGAGGACGAUUCAACUUCCCCAGGUAGACAUGUCCGAAUCCUUUGGUAACGCCUAUUCGGGGUGCGCGCAUGACUUGUCCACGAUCCCCACACUUAGCUCCUGGGGUUUGAACCACAAAACCUCCAGGCUUUCCUUGCUUUCCACCUAGGCUCUCAUAGGUGCAAGACCUACCCAUGAGGCUUAUUUCUCCGGGUUUGAAUCAAGUGGAUAAGGGGUUGACACAUAUCCCCUAAAAAUUCUAGCUUUAGAAUUAUUGUCCUAGAAGAAAAAGACGAGCAAGUGUUUUCUCACAUCAUGGAGUUACUAUAUAACGUUAAAAAACUAAAGUAUUGUUUGUUUUCUUAAUUUUUUAUUUCGGUUUUUUUUAAACCUUUCAUUAACUUAUUAUUUACUUCUUAAAUUUUUUUAUUAAAUAAAAAAUUUUAAAUAUAUAAAAUUUUUAAAUAUUGAAAAUAAUUCAUUAAUUUUUCUUUACUUAUUUAAUAAAAAUAAAAUAUAAAAAAUGAACAAUUUAAUACUUAAUAUUAUUAAAUACUAUUUAAUUUUAAAUUUUAUUUAAAAUUAAGUUAAAAAGAAACACCAUUUAAAUGUCUUCAUUGUGUGUUGGACAUUAUCAACUCUACUCUUUUAUAAAAAAAUUUAUUUUAGGAAAUUUUAGUUUCCAAAUGAAGUAGGUUUAUAAACAUAUCAAUUGCCUUAAAUUUAAUUGAAAUAAAUAAACAAUAAAAAAACACUUGAAUUGAUUAAGGAACAAUUUUUUUAUGCCAAGGGAAGAUGGUGGUGAUAUAUUGAUUUGAGUAAGGAUUUCAUAAUUUCUCAAAAGAAAGAGAAAGAGGAAAAAGCAAGAUUUAUUAAAAGAUAGAUACAUUAGGAUAUCAUAUUCGAAUUUAGUAUUUUUGUUUUCUCUUCUUUAUAAAACUAAAUAAUAGAAAUCAAAUACUUUUACCAACUUCGCAUACUGCACCGUUUCGUUUUUCACUUCGUCUAAUUUUACCUUCAAUUCAUUUGUUUCCUAUUUUAUUUCUUGAAACAUGUAUUGACUAAAGCCUCUGUACCAAUGUUUCAGGACAUGGAGAGGUAGCCGUCCUCCUCCGGCCUCUCCUCCGGUCACAUAAGCUUCUCAACUAUCUGGCUCAUCGUGGGUCUUGAGUCCCUGUCUUCCUCCACACAUUCCAAGGCAACUCCAAUCAGAAUUUCCAUCCGGCGCAGGUCGCAUUCGCCUUGCAUCACAGGGUCCAGGAUGUCUUCAAUCCACGACCCCCUGGCACCAAUCCCAUUCAUUCGAUCCCUCACCCAUUUAAUCAACCCACGCUGCUCUGUCUCUCCUUGGGCAUCAGUAUCGGGGAUAGCAGUUGGGCUCUUCCCUGUCACCAUCUCCAAAACCACGAUUCCAUAGUUAUAAACGUCUACCUUGGAGGUUAUGGGAAGGUUGAAUACCCAUUCAGGAGCCAUGUAUCCUCUGGUUCCUCUGAUCCUCGAGAAACUUGAAUUGUCAAGCCCUCCUCUGUUUCGCAGUUUCGACAUCCCAAAAUCGGCCACUUUUGGCUGGUAAUUAGAGUCCAAGAGUAUGUUCUGAGGCUUGACGUCACAGUGCAGAACCCACUCCAAGCAUUCUUCGUGUAAAUAAGCUAGGCCUCUGGCCGUGCCAAGCGCUAUUUGGAACCUCUUCUCCCAAUCAAGAGUAUUGGAAGAUAGCUUUUGUGCCAAGGAUCCAUGUUCCAUGUACUCAUACACCAACAGCCGGUGCUUCCCCUCUAUGCAAUAUCCCCACGUCUCUAUUAAGUUCAUGUGAUUAAGCCUUCCAAUGGUGCUCACUUCUGCUAGAAAUUCUGCUUCUCCUUGAUUGGCUUCUUUGAGGCGCUUGAUUGCUGCCACUCGACGAUCAAGCAAUACACCUUUAUAUACCACUCCUCCACCUCCUCUUCCAAUCUCUUGGGUGAAACCUCGCGUGGCCUUCUUCAACUUUGCAUAGCUGAAUCUUUUAAACCCGUUUGCAACGAGGAUGUAGCCUUGCAUGGUCGAGACUGGAUCAUGGUGUACCCUAAAUAAGAAAAGCCAUACCAGCAAGACAAUUGCCCCCUCUAGAACUCCCAGUACGUAGGCAAACCAAAGCAAAAACUUCAAUGACCCAUUUUCAUGGCCCUUGCGAUAUGUUGUAUCUAGCUGUAUAUAACGAGUGUUGCCUGAACAAUUCAUGGUGAAUUCUUCAAGAGUGUUGGAAAUCAAGCCAGCAUCCUCUGUUUACUUCCCUAAUUAGUGUAAUGUACAGCCUUUAUUAUAAUUGAUUUAGGAGUAAUUCUAGCAAGGUAGUUUAUUCACUUUCCAUGUAAGAGUAGUUUAUUCACUUCCCAUGUAAGAGUAGUUUAUUCACUUCCCAUGUAAGAGUUUAUUCACUUUCCAUGUAAGGGAAAUUCCAUUCCGGAAUUGUCUCAUAUCUGUAGGCUAUUUAUUUAUGCUUUCAUUCAUUGUAAAGGGUGAGAUCACGGAAUGAAUUGAGGUGUUCCUCCAUAGUUUGUCUUCAAAUUCUUCAUAUUUUUCUUCAAAUUCUUCAAAGAUGAUCAUAUCUGGGAAAGAGACUAGCUUUAGGCAGUUUUAGAUACAUGGUUCCAGGAUAAUUUGGCGAACUGAAUCCAUUAAGCAAGAGGGUAUUUGGGUAACAAUCGUAAAGGUCGUCGCUAAAAUUUAGCAGGAAGGCCUUGCAUUUGCACAACUGUAAGCAUAGAUUUUCACACCUUUCGUAGGUGUAAUUGGGGUAGUGACCAUAGUCAUAGCCGUAGAGUUGAACAUGAGGGAGUGGGAAGAAGCCCACCUCAGUUUGGUUACAAGCGAUAUCAGUUUCUGGUGCACACCCAUAAGACUAGUCAGUUGAAUUUACAAUCUUGAAUCCAGGCAUGCAAGAGCAUCCUCUGCCAUAAGCAGGGGUGUAACUGCAGAGACUAUUGGGUUCGCAGAUGCCAUGAAUCUGGCAUGGUUGGGAGAUAGCCUGCCAUGAAACCGACCAGGUUCCUCUCGUUUCUUCUAGACUAUACAUUCUAAGAUUGCCAUCGAAAUCGAGGGCCAAUCUUCUCUGAGGCCCUGCACCAAAAUCCGCUGACCGAAAUUCCAAAUCAUCUGAUGCUCUAUAAUAACCCAAAGAAUCGAAUACUGCGAUUCGACUGUUGUUGUAUGUGCUCCUUCCAGCAUCCCAGGUCACCAGGCUUAGGUCUGGCCAAUAGAUGCUGGAAACCUCAGUACCAUUGAAGAGAAGGCGGAUGACGUUAUCACUGUCAAAAAAUAGCUUAUAAAAACCAGAAGAAUAGUUGCUUUGGCUUCUUGAGGAGAUAAGGCUGGUAUCUUUGGUCAGUAUCUGGUGAGGAAGAAGAGUAUCUGUGGGUGAGUCAAAGCUCUGCCAAAUCACCGUCUUCUCCCAAGCAUAUAGAACAAGAUUGCCGGUGUUAAGGAGCUGUAAUCUCGCAGAUGAGGUUGAAACUGUCACGCCCCAAGACCCACUCCAAGGGCGUGACGGUCAUUUCACACCUCAAACCCGAAGGCUUAAAGUAUAAUCUGACCCGAACAAUCAUAUUAUAACUAGAUGUUACCAAUUACCAAAUACCUGUUCAGAGUAGCAGAACAAAAUCUAAAUUCCUCAAAAUUCAAUUUCCAAAUAACUUCCAAAUAUCAAAUGAUCCAAAUGAACAUAACUAACAGUUAAACAAAAUCCAACAUAAAAUCCUAAGUCAAAUCUUAAUGAUGACCAUUCUUCAGCCUAGCCAUCACUCCUCACCCGAACUAAGAGUACCUGAAAAUUUUCAACAAUUGGGAAUGAGCUCACAGCCCAAUAAGGAAUAUUAAUGCAAUUCAUGGAUCAAAUAUUUUCAUUUCAAAUAGGAGAUAUCAAUUUUUUUUUUUCUCAUCAAAUAUCAGAGUUCCAAAAAUACCAAUAUAUUCAAAAUUCAACCAACCAAUUUCAUAUCAAAUUCAAACACUUUCACAUAAAAUUCAAUCAAAUUCAUUCAAGUUUCAUUACUCUGGUUAUCAAAUAUCAAAUGCCCAGUUAGGUGGGACUUUUCAAAUGGGUGGCUAGCCUCAAAUUGUUCCUGGUGGACGGAACCUAAACACNNNNNNNNNNNNNNNNNNNNNNNNNNNNNNNNNNNNNNNNNNNNNNNNNNNNNNNNNNNNNNNNNNNNNNNNNNNNNNNNNNNNNNNNNNNNNNNNNNNNCCGAACUAAGAGUACUGAAAAUUUUCACAAUUGGGAAUGAGCUCACAGCCCAAUAAGGAAUAUUAAUGCAAUUCAUGGAUCAAAUAUUUUCAUUUCAAAUAGGAGAUAUCAAUUUUUUUUUUUCUCAUCAAAUAUCAGAGUUCCAAAAAUACCAAUAUAUUCAAAAUUCAACCAACCAAUUUCAUAUCAAAUUCAAACACUUUCACAUAAAAUUCAAUCAAAUUCAUUCAAGUUUCAUUACUCUGGUUAUCAAAUAUCAAAUGCCCAGUUAGGUGGGACUUUUCAAAUGGGUGGCUAGCCUCAAAUUGUUCCUGGUGGACGGAACCAAACACUACUAGUACUAGUAACCUCUAACCAAACCCCUAGAGGCUGGGGUCCAAAUCAAUUACAUUCCCACCAUGAAAUGUAAAGGUCAACUAUUAUAUCCCGUUGAUAGGGCCGAAUAGUCAAUUAUUAUAUCCCGUUGACAAGGGUCAAAUAAACCAGAGUGAUGUUUUUGUUCAAGUUUUCAAAUUUACACAACAUAAUAUCUCCAUAUUUUGUGUCAUAAAUAAAACAAAAUAUUCCAACAUAACAUUUAGUGCAAAACAAUUUGAUCCAUGCAUGGUAACAAAAUAUCAUUUUCUUUUCCACAAUUCAAAAUAACAUAUAAGAUAAUUUAAUUUUAUAAAUAUUACAUUAACUUCCCUUACCUCAAAAGAAGUCCUUGAAAGCUUGGGAGAAGAAUAAUUCUGAAAAAAAAAAUAUAAUCUACUCUUCACCUAAUAUAACAUAAAAGAAACAAUUAUUACUAUUUAUUUAUAAUUUAACUAAUCUAUUCCUUAUUAAAAAAAAAUUAAAAAAUUCCCAAUUGGUUUUUAAUAUACCAUUACUAAUUUAAUUAAAUAAUACCUUUAUUUGGCUAUAAAAUUCUAUAUUUAUAUAUUUAUAUAUGGCUAAUUUUCUUUUUCUUUUUUUACCAAAAAUACCAUUUUUAUUUUUUUUUUAUUUAAAAAUUUAAAACUAAUUUUUUUUUUUUAAUUACCCAAUUCCAACCCAUCCACCUUGGGGUACACCAAACCAAAAAGCAAGUUUUUAUUUUUAUUUUUUAUUUUUUUUUCAUUCCCAACCAGGAUCCAUUAAUAUAUAUAUAUAUAUAUAUAUAUAAAAGGGGCUUCCUGGCACACGCACCUUUUUUUUUUUUUUUUAAUAAAAUUAACCCUAACCUAAAAUCAAAACCUUCCAAGAAAUUUUUUUUUUUUUCUAAUAAAACUUAAGAUCUCCCAAAUUCCAAUACUAAAAUCAAAAUAUUAAAUUUUCACUAUUUGAUAUUAAAACGAAUUAAAAAAAUAAUCUAACCCUAAUCUAGAUUUGGGGUUUUCCAAAAAAAUAUAUCUAAUGUGUUUGAAAUUAAUCAAUGAAUCUAAAAUAUUAAACUAGGGGUUAGAAUCUUACCUAUAGAGAUCUGUUCUUCAACCCUGAAAUCUGACUCCAAUCUUACGUUCUCUGGAAUUCUACGAACAGGAAAUCUAUUCAGAAAAAAAGGGAAAAAAAUAAAAUUUCUAAUUUAUACCUAGGGUAUUUAUUCGUAAAAUUACACUUUUACCCUUCUUCCACUUUAUUAAAUUAAUUAAUUAAUUAAUUUAAUUAUUAAUAACAAUUUCCUAAAUUACCCUUAAAAGAAAAUGCUUGGGCAUUACAUCCUCCCCUCCUUAACAAAAGUUUAGUCCUCUAAACUUGACAUACCUGAGUCUUGAAAUAAUUGAGGAUGUUUUUCUCUCAUCUCUUCUUCUAACUCCCAAGUGGCCUCUCGGAUACUAUGAUUGCUCCACUGGACCUUUACCAACUUGACAACAGCAUGUCGUAGUACCUUAUCCAUCAUAUCCACAAUUUGAACGGGUACCUCUUCAUAGGUCAAGUCCUCAAAAUUUUGAAUAGGCUCCAACUCCACAACAUGAGAAGGAUCAUAAAUAUACUUCCUUAGAGUCGAAACAUGAAACACAUUAUGAACCUUAGACAAGCUUGGGGGCAAGACUACUUUAUAUGCCAAAGUGCCUACUCUUUCUAAUAUUUCAAACGGACCCACAAAACGAGGACUAAGUUUUCCUUUUCUCCCAAAUCUCAUCACAUACUUCAUAGGUGAAACUUUCAAGAACACAUGAUCACCCACCUCAAACUCCAAAUCUCGCCUACGAUGAUCAGCAUAACUCUUAUGUCUACUUUGAGCUGCUUUUAAUAUUUCUUUAAUCAAAGCAACCUUUUCAACAGUCAACUGCACAAGUUCAGGCCCCAAAAGUUUCCUUUCUCCAACAUCAUUCCAAUAGAUAGGAGAUCGACAUUUCCUACCAUACAAUGCCUCAAAAGGUGUCAUCCCAAUGCUAGCUUGAAAACUAUUGUUAUAGGCAAACUCUACUAAAGGUAAAUGAUCAUCCCAAUUACCUUGCAGGUCCAAAAUACAAGCUCUCAACAAGUCUUCCAAAACCUUAAUUACCCUUUCUGAUUGGCCAUCAGUUUGAGGAUGGAAAGCAGUACUAAAACUCAACUUAGUGCCCAAAGUUUUUUGUAGACUAUGCCAGAAUCUAGAAGUGAAACGAGGAUCUCUAUCAGACACUAUAGAAACUGGUACUCCAUGCAUUCUCACAAUCUCCUUCACAUAAAGAGAAGCUAAACGAUCUAAAGAAAAGUUCACUUUCAUAGGUAAAAAGUGAGCAGACUUUGUCAACCGAUCAACAAUCACCCAAAUAGCAUUAUUACCCCCUAAGGUUCUUGGCAAUCCUAUCACAAAAUCCAUGGUAAUAUGCUCCCACUUCCACUCAGGAAUAGCAAGUGGCUGCAAAGACCCUGCUGGUCGUUGAUGUUCAGCCUUCACCUGUUGACACACUAAAUACUGAGCCACAAAUUGUGCAAUAUCACGCUUCAUACCUGACCACCAAUAGUUUUGCCUCAAAUCCUUGUACAUCUUUGUCCCUCCUGGGUGGAUUGCAAACUUGGAACAAUGAGCUUCCUCUAAAAGCUCCCUCUUUAAGUCUUCAUCAUUUGGGACACAAAGUCUAGUCCCAAAUCUCAAGAUCUCAUCAUCUGACAAAACAAAAUCAGGCUUACUGUCCCUCUUAACUUCCUCCAUAACUUGCACUAAUUGGGAAUCAUUCUUUUGUAGGGUCUUAAUUCUCCCAACUAAGUCUGGUUGUACUCUGAAAUUUGCUACAAGUGCUCCUAAGCCCAUAACUCGAAAGUGGACUUGUAAACUCCUCAACUCUUCAAGUAACUGCCUUUGACAACCUCUAAUAGCUGCUAGAGAACCAACUGACUUCCUACUCAAGGCAUCAGCUACAACAUUCGCCUUCCCAGGAUGAUACUGAAUAAUACAAUCAUAGUCCUUAAGUAGUUCUAUCCAUCUUCUCUGUCUUAUGUUCAACUCCUUUUGGGAAAAUAGAUACUUCAAACUCUUAUGAUCUGUGAAUAUCUCACAAGUUUCACCAAAAAGAAAAUGUCUCCAAAUCUUAAGUGCAAAAACCACAGCAGCUAACUCCAAAUCAUGAGUAGGGUAAUUCCUUUCAUAAGGCUUCAACUGUCUAGAAGCAUAAGCUACAACUCUCCCAUGUUGCAUAAGAACACAACCUAAACCCUGAUGAGAAGCAUUACUAUACACCACAAAUCCUCCUGAACCUGAAGGGAUAGUCAAAAUAGGAGCUGACACUAAUCUAUUCUUCAACUCUUGGAAGCUACAUUCACAAUCAUCAGACCACUCAAACUUAACUCCCUUCUGUGUCAACUUAGUUAAAGGUAGGGCAAUCUUAGAGAACCCUUCUAUAAACCGCCUAUAGUAACCAGCAAGUCCCAAGAAACUUCGAAUCUCAGUCACAGUACUAGGUCUUCUCCAAUUAGCUACAGCAUCUACCUUGCCAGGGUCAACUGAGAUGCCAUCAUUGCUUACCACAUGCCCAAGGAAAGAAAUUCAGUCUAACCAAAACUCACACUUCUUCAGUUUAGCAUACAACUGCUUAUCUCUGAGGAUAUGUAAUACAAUACUCAAAUGGCCCUCAUGCUCCUCUCUACUUCUUGAGUAUACCAAGAUGUCAUCUAUAAAAACCACCACAAAUUGAUCUAAAUAGGGUUUGAAUACCCUAUUCAUCAAGUCCAUAAAAGCAGCAGGUGCAUUAGUCAAACCAAAAGGCAUAACAAGAAACUCAUAGUGCCCAUACCUAGUUCGAAAAGCAGUCUUGGGUACAUCUUCCCCUCUAACCCUCAACUGGUGAUAACCCGAUCAAAGAUCUAUCUUAGAGAACACACAAGCACCUUGUAACUGAUCAAACAAAUCAUCAAUCCGAGGAAGGGGAUACUUGUUCCUCACUAUCACCUUAUUCAACUCCCUAUAGUCAAUGCAAAGUCUCAUUGAGCCAUCCUUCUUUUUCACAAAUAGAACAGGAGCUCCCCAAGGUGAAACACUAGGCCUGAUAAAACCCUUGUCUAAUAACUCUUGAAGCUGAACUUUCAACUCCUUAAGCUCCACAGGUGCCAUCCUGUAUGGGGCCUUAGACAUAGGACCUAUUCCUAGUACUAGAUCAAUGGUGAACUCCACCUCUCUCUCUGGUGGCAAGCCAGACAAAUCCUCUGGAAAGACAUCAGGAUACUCUCUUACUAUAGGUAUGUCUUCCAACUUCAAAUCACUUUCAUUACUCACCAUACUAGCCAAAAAUCCUUGGCAACCCUUCUUAAGCAAGCUACUAGCACGCAAGGCUGAGAUCAUACGCAGUGGUCUGUCCACAUGCUUCCCUUCAAAGCUAAACUUAGGCUGACCAGGAAUACUAAAUGUCACUCUUUUCUCAAAACAGUCAACAGAGGCAUGGUAGGAAGCUAACCAAUCCAUACCCAAAAUCACAUCAAAAUCCUGAAGGUCAAGGAGUACUAAAUCAACUGGCAUUUCCCUAUAACCAAUCAUCACAAUACAAUUUCUAAGCAUUCUACUGGCCACAACAGAAUCUCCCACAGGAGUAGCAACAAUCAAAUCAAAGUCCAUGCUAACAACAGGCAAACCCAACAAACCAGCAAAAGAUACUGAAACAAAAGAGUGUGUUGAUCCAGGAUCAAUCAGACUCUAGCAAAUAAGGUGUGGAUUCGGAGAGUACCUGUCACCACAUCAGAAGUGGCCUGAGCAUCUCGAUGAGUCAUAGCAAACACCCGUCCUUGGGCUUUGGGUUUCUGUUUUAUCUCCUUAUUUUCCUCUUUAAGCUUCCCAGUGAUGAACUUACCUAUUCCUCUGAUCAAAUGUCCUUGCNNNNNNNNNNNNNNNNNNNNNNNNNNNNNNNNNNNNNNNNNNNNNNNNNNNNNNNNNNNNNNNNNNNNNNNNNNNNNNNNNNNNNNNNNNNNNNNNNNNNGUGAUAACCCGAUCGAAGAUCUAUCUUAGAGAACACACAAGCACCUUGUAGCUAAUCAAACAAAUCAUCAAUCCGAGGAAGGGGAUACUUAUUCCUCACUGUCACCUUAUUCAACUCCCUAUAGUCAAUGCAAAGUCUCAUUGAGCCAUCCUUCUUUUUUACAAAUAGAACAGGAGCUCCCCAAGGUGAAACACUAGGCCUGAUAAAACCCUUGUCUAAUAACUCCUGAAGCUGAACUUUUAACUCCUUAAGCUCCAUAGGUGCCAUCCUGUAUGGGGCCUUAGACAUAGGACCUGUUCCUGGUACCAGAUCAAUGGUGAACUCCACCUCUCUCUCUGGUGGCAAGCCAGGCAAAUCCUCUGGAAAGACAUCAGGAUACUCCCUUACUAUGGGUAUGUCUUCCAACUUCAAAUCACUUCCAUUACUCACCACACUAGCCAAAAAUCCUUGGCAACCCUUCUUAAGCAAGCUACUAGCUCGCAAGGCUGAGAUCAUACGCAGUGGUCUGUCCACAUGCUUCCCUUCAAAGCUAUACUUAGGCUGACCAGGAAUACUAAACGUCACCCUUUUCUCAAAACAGUCAACAGAGGCAUGGUAGGAAGCUAACCAAUCCAUCCCCAAAAUCACAUCAAAAUCCUGAAGGUCAAGGAGUACUAAAUCAACUGGCAUUUCCCUAUAACCAAUCAUCACAAUACAAUUUCUAAGCAUUCUACUGGCCACAACAGAAUCUCCCACAGGAGUAGCAACAAUCAAAUCAAAGUCCAUGCUAACAACAGGCAAACCCAACAAACCAGCAAAAGAUACUGAAACAAAAGAGUGUGUUGAUCCAGGAUCAAUCAAGACUCUAGCAAAUAAGGUGUGGAUUCGGAGAGUACCUGUCACCACAUCAGAAGUGGCCUGAGCAUCUCGAUGAGUCAUAGCAAACACCCGUCCUUGGGCUUUGGGUUUCUGUUUAUCCUCCUUAUUUUCCUCUUUAAGCUUCCCAGUGAUGAACUUCCUAUUCUCUGAUCAAAUGUCCUUGCUUCCCACAACCAAAGCAAGCUCCAGUCUCUCUAUAGCAUGGCCUACCCCCAUGCUUCUUACCACAAGUAGGACAAGCCCCAUCUAAAUUCUGCGCUGCCUUCCCUUUAUUCUGAUUUCUUCCUGAUGUAGACCUUCGCUGUGCUUGAUUACCAUGAGCACCAUCACUCCUAUUUCGCUUCCUUUGCUGUUCCCUAUACUGAUGAAGCUCUUCAUUAUCUUUCUCUGUUAUAAGGGCUCUGUCAACAACCUCUGAAUAGACACCAAGCUUCAGAAUAGAUAUCUUGUUCUUCAAAUAAGGCUUCAAUCCAUCCUGAAACUUUAAUGCCUUUUCCUCCUCUAUAGCAAUCAACUGUGGGGAAAAACGUGAUAACUUUGUAAAUUUGGCCUCAUACUGAGCCACAGUCAUAUCCCUCUGUUCCAAACGAAUAAACUCUCCCACCUUCUGCCACCUAACACUGUCAGGGAAAUACUUCUUGUAGAAAGCCUCCCUAAAUUGUCUCCAUGUUAUGGGUCCCUGAUCCUCCAAAAGUCUCUUAGUCAUACGCCACCAAUGAUCUGUCUCUUUAUCUAACAUAAAAGCUGCAUAAGAGGCUUUUUGCUCCUCAGAGCAAUCUAUGACACCAAAGAAUUUCUCCAUCUUAAGGAUCCAAGCCUCUGCCUCUGUGGGAUCUGUAGCACCAGAAAAGUAAGGAGGACCCAAUUUCUUGAAGUCAUCAAAAGAGCUACCCCUAGAAGAUGAAGACUGUCCCUGAACAUUAGUCCCAACAGCUCGAGCUUGGCGUUCAACUAAACCAACUAGUGUCCCAAGAUACCUAUAGAUCCCUUCUGCACUCACGGGAGGCAAACCCUCAAUUGGAGGUACAUCGUCAUUAGCCUGACUGUUUUGUGAAGAAGUUGUUCUUCUUGGUGGCAUGAUGUCCUAAAAUAAUAAGGCAUAACUAAAUUAGUCACUAAAGAACCAAUUAGAAAAUUUUCCAAUUAAAGAAAGAAUUGGAAUUUAUACUAAAUGAAACUAAAACUUAAACAAAUGCGUUACUCAUCUAUCCCUAAUCUAAACCAAUUCAAAUUCCCAUCAAGAUCAAAACCUAGUGCUCUGAUACCACUCUGUCACGCCCCAAGACCCACUCCAAGGGCGUGACGGUCAUUUCACACCUCAAACCCGAAGGCUUAAAGUAUAAUCUGACCCGAACAAUCAUAUUGUAACUAGAUGUUACCAAUUACCAAAUACCUGUUCAGAGUAGCGGAACAAAAUCUAAAUUCCUCAAAAUUCAAUUUCCAAAUAACUUCCAAAUAUCAAAGAUCCAAAUGAACAUAACUAACAGUUAAACAAAAUCCAACAUAAAAUCCUAAGUCAAAUCCUAAUGAUGACCAUUCUUCAGCCUAGCCAUCACUCCUCACCCGAACUAAGAGUACCUGAAAAUUUUCAACAAUUGGGAAUGAGUUCACAGCCCAAUAAGGAAUAUUAAUGCAAUUCAUGGAUCAAAUAUUUUCAUUUCAAAUAGGAGAUAUCAAUUUUUUUUUUUCUCAUCAAAUAUCAGAGUUCCAAAAAUACCAAUAUAUUCAAAAUUCAACCAACCAAUUUCAUAUCAAAUUCAAACACUUUCACAUAAGAUUCAAUCAAAUUCAUUCAAGUUUCAUUACUCUGGUUAUCAAAUAUCAAAUGCCCAGUUAGGUGAGACUUUUCAAAUGGGUGGCUAGCUUCAAAUUGUUCCUGGUGGACGAAACCAAACACUACUAGUACUAGUAACCUCUAACCAAACCCCUAGAGGCUGGGGUCCAAAUCAAUUACAUUCCCACCAUGAAAUGUAAAGGUCAACUAUUAUAUCUCGUUGACAGGGCCGAAUAGUCAACUAUUAUAUCCCGUUGACAAGGGUCAAAUAAACCAGAGUGAUGUUUUUGUUCAAGUAUUCAAAUGUACACAACAUAAUAUCUCCAUAUUUUGUGUCAUAAAUAAAACAAAAUAUUCCAACAUAACAUUUAGUGCAAAACAAUUUGAUCCAUGCAUGGUAACAAAAUAUCAUUUUCUUUUCCACAAUUCAAAAUAACAUAUAAGAUAAUUUAAUUUUAUAAAUAUUACAUUAACUUCCCUUACCUCAAAAGAAGUCCUUGAAAGCUUGGGAGAAGAAUAAUUCUGAAAAAAAAAUAUAAUCUACUCUUCACCUAAUAUAACAUAAAAGAAACAAUUAUUACUAUUUAUUUAUAAUUUAACUAAUCUAUUCCUUAUUUAAAAAAAAACUAAUAAAUUCCCAAUUUGUUUCUAAUAACACAUUACUAAUUUAAUUAAAUUAUAACUUUAUUUCGCUAUAAAAUUAUAUAUAUAUAUAUAUAUAUAUAUUGCUAAAUCUCUUAUUCUAUUUAUUACAAAAAUACCAUUAUUACUAUUAUCUUAUUUAUAAAUCUAAAACUAAUUAUUAUUAUUUAAUUAACCAAUUCCAAACCACUCAACCUCGGGUACACCAAACCAAAAAGCAAGUUUUUAUUUUUAUUUUUUAUUUUUUUUCAUUGCCAAUCAUGAUCCAUUAAUAUAUAUAUAUAUAUAUAAAAGGGGCUUCCUGGUACACGCACCUUUUUUUUUUAAUAAAAUUAACCCUAACCUAAAAUCAAAACCUUCCAAGAAAUUUUUUUUUUUUUCUAAUAAAACUUAAGAUCUCCCAAAUUCCAAUACUAAAAUCAAAAUAUUAAAUUUUCACUAUUUGAUAUUAAAACGAAUUAAAAAAAUAAUCUAACCCUAAUCUAGAUUUUGGGUUUUCCAAAAAAAUAUAUCUAAUGUGUUUGAAAUUAAUCAAUGAAUCUAAAAUAUUAAACUAGGGGUUAGAAUUUUACCUAUAGAGAUCUGUUCUUCAACCCUGAAAUCUGACUCCAAUCUUACGUUCUCUGGAAUUCUACGAACAAGAACUAUAUUCAGAAAAGAAGGGAAAAAAAUAAAAUUUCUAAUUUAUACCUAGGGUAUUUAUUCGUAAAAUUACACUUUUACCCUUCUUCCACUUUAUUAAAUUAAUUAAUUAAUUAAUUUAAUUAUUAAUAACAAUUUCCUAAAUUACCCUUAAAAGAAAAUGCUUGGGCGUUACAGAAACGGUGUUGAUCAUCCAAACCAUGAUUUUACCAGCAUCAGUUAAGAUGAGAUUGCCAUUCCUCAACAAAGAAAGCUUGGAGCCUCUACCGUUGACCGGUUGGUCAUGGUUCGCCAUCCAAACUGUGGUUGCACCCCAUGAUUUUGUGAACCAUAUGGCGAAGCAGAAAGUGUUGUUGCCGACCUGAUAAAACCCAGCAGAGAAUAUACCAUUUGCUGAAAUGAGAACAUCAUUUGAUUUCUCCACGGAAAGAGACGAGCCUUCGCUCAGAGUAUCAUACGUUUCAGAUGAAGAUGGAUAGCAAGUUAACAGCAAAACCAAAACAAAGAAACCAACUGUCCUAUCCAUGAGUUUUGGGAUAUGGUUCAUGUGCUCUGUUUCCUGAUCAGAUAUUUGCAAUGGAGAAUGCAAGUGUAUGGUGCUACCAGAGUUUAGAAAAUCAAUUGACUCCUUGACUGGGGUGAAGGGGGAAAAUUCACAUUGCCCCUCGGGCCAAGUUUUGCUUGUGCCAUCGUGUUGGGUUUCUAAAAGCAUUUCAUGUCAACGUCAAAAUAUGGGAUGAAGACCCGCUAUUUUUAAUGGGAUCUAUUUUGAUUGGAUGACUUGGGCCAUUCAAAUUUUGUAGUUUCCACUUGGAACAACAAAAUUAUUAUGAGAUACGUCAUUUUGAAGAAAGAUUCUAGAAAUAAGAUGUUAAAUUGAUCUCUUUUCCAUGUAGCUGAACUCGUCAACUGUGAGUCUGAGCCAUAUGAUUUCUGUGCCAUACAGAAGCUUAUUGUUCCAAGUUGCCUGCUCAAAGGUUAACCUGUGAACAGUUUGGAUCUAAAUACAAUGAAUGUGAUGAAAUUUACUGAAACCGGGACUCUCUGACUGGCCUGUGGCCUUUAUGAGUUUUAUUUUAGAGGUGACGUCUGAUGUUGAUUGGCCCAAGCAGGGAAAGAUCAAAUGGGAAACGACGGUCACAACUUGUGGGGUGACUUUCCACUCACCAGGGAACACUUCAAAGAAAUUAUCCCUAAUUUUUAAACGCUUAAUUAUUGCGAUUCGAGGGGUAAAACAUUUUCUUUUAUUGAAUCAAGAUUGAAUUUAAAAUAAUAGUGUUGGUAUUACUCCCUCUCUUUUAUCCUUUUCUUAUUCUAUCUAAUAGUGGUUUUCUCGCCGCCUUUGUGGGCCAAGAUGAACUAAUGCUAAGAAUUUUAUUCAUCUGCUUUCUUUCAAGACUCACUUAUUGAAUAUAAUAUCUCAAUAAAUAUAGAACCAUAUUUUGAUUAUAUUGGUACAAUUAUUGAUACAACUGUUGGCUCCGCUCAAGUCAUUUUGGCGUGGACUUUUAGGGUAUGGUAGAGUGGAGCUUGUAUCACUACUAAUUAUUAAAAUGGUUAAAGGAUGUCUUUGUCAUUUUAGUGCACAUAUAAUUAUUAUUACAAUUGAGGGUCCUCCAAUAUCCCAUUUUUCCAAUUUUGACUUUUGAUCGGAAAAAAUUUAGUAUACAAGGAUAGGAAAAUAUGCUAAAUAAAAUAAUUUUCUCAUAUUUAGGUUUAUUAAAAAUUAUAAAAAAUAAUAUAAUAUAAUAUAAUUAAAAAGUUAUGUAUUUUUAAAUUAGAUAAUUUUUUUAUAAAACAAUUAAAAUAAGUUAAAUGAGUUUGAAAUUCCAUAUAAAAAUAAUUUAUUGAUUUAAAAUCUAUUUUUAUUUCCUUUAACUUUUUUUCAUAUAUUUUUUUUUUGAAUUUUUCAAAUACUUCAAACAGCUAUUUUUAAGUUUGUAUCUUUGUGAAACUCGUGUAAUCGUGACCCAUGAGAACCUUCAAGUCAUUUUGAUUAUAUUGGUACAAUUAUUGGUACAACUGUUGGCUCCGCUCAAGUCAUUUUGGCGUGGACUUUUAGGUUAUGGUUGAGUGGAGCUUGUAUCACUACUAAUUAUUAAUAUGGUUAAAGGAUGUCUUUGUCAUUUUAGUGCACAUAUAAUUAUUAUUACAAUUGAGGGUCCUCCAAUAUCCCAUAUUUCCAAUUUUGAUUUUUCAAGGUAUGAUCGGAAAAAAUUUAGUAUACAAGGAUAGGAAAAUAUGUUAAAUAAAAUAAUUUUCUUAUAUUUAGUUUUAUUAAAAAUUGUAAAAAAUAAUAUAAUAUAAUAUAAUUAAAAAGUUAUGUAUUUUUAAAUUAGGUAAUUUUUUUAUAAAACAAUUAAAAUAAGUUAAAUGAGUUUGAAAUUUUAUAGAAAAUUAAUUUAUUGAUUUAAAAUCUAUUUUUAUUUUCUUUAACUUUUUUUCAUAUAUAUUUUUUUUUUUGUAUUUUUCAAAUACUUCAAGUAGCACCCCAUUUCCUAUUUUCAAGUUUGUAUCUUCGUGAAACUCAUGUAAUCGUGACCCAUGAGAACCUUCAAGUCAUUUUGAUUAUAUUGGUACAAUUAUUGGUACAACUGUUGGCCCCGCUCAAGUCAUUUUGGCGCGGACUUUUAGGGUAUGGUUGAGUGGAGCUUGUAUAACUACUAAUUAUUAAUAUGGUUAAAGGGUGUCUUUGUCAUUUUAGUGCACAUAUAAUUAUUAUUACAAUUGAGGGUCCUCCAAUAUCCCAUUUUUCCAAUUUUGACUUUUCAAGGUCUGAUCGGAAAAAAUUUAGUAUACAGAGAAAAUAUGAUAAAUAAAAUAAUUUUUUCAUAUUUAGUUUUAUUAAAAAUUGUAAAAAAAUAUAUAUAUAAUUAAAAAGUUAUGUAUUUUUAAAUUAGGUAAUUUUUUUUUAUAAAACAAUUAAAAUAAGUUAUAUGAGUUUGAAACUCCAUAUAAAAAUAAUUUAUUAAUUUAAAAUUUAUUUUUAUUUCCUUUAACUUUUUUUCUUAUAUUUUCUUUCGUAUUUUCCAAAUAUUUCAAAUAGCACUCUAUUCCCAUUUUCAAGUUUGUAUCUUUGUGAAACUCAUUUAAUCGUGACCCAUGAGAACCUUCCCAUAACUACAAAGGAAGGUGGCAACAUAUCAUUGGGAGAGUGUCUUAAGAGCCAAAAUUUGACUAGCGGUUGAAAGGAAAAUGCACAAUUAUUGUAGUGGACAAAUACUUUUAACCUCAUUUGUGGAAGCUAGGUUGUUUUUACAAGGGAAACUUGUGUUCCAAGUUAGAUAUUUGAAAGUAAUAUUAUAUUCAAACCCCAAUUAGCUGGAAUAUGAGAUUUGACUAUUAAAAGAGAAAAUAUUAUUGUGUUUGUGCAUUCUAAGUUGGCUCUAUCUUCUAUGCCCAAAUUGCCCUUUUGUUUCUCUAGCUCAACAUCAUCCUAACCUCUUUGUCAACAGGACCACUAAAAUUAAGAAAAAACACUAAAUUUUGAAUUUUUAACUUCUAAAAAAAAAAACACCCGACCCGACCACUUAAUUUGAAUGUUUUCCUUUCUCAUUUGGAAGCUUUCUCUCAUCUUUCUUCAUUCAUGACAACCCAAAAUUUCUCCUAUUUCAAUUUAGAAACCCAAAUCUGAAACUCUAAAACGGUGUCAAAAUGCGUCUUUUGACGUGCCUCUGGCUCAGAUGCCUCAGCUAGGCGUUUGCCUUGAGCCCUAACCGUAGUUAACUCUCGUCUAGGAGCCACGAGAGUGCAAGAGAAUCCAAUAAAAAUGAAAUGGAGCUCGGGUGGAGAGUAGAUGCCCAAAAACUGAAACCUUAACCUCCAAAUGCGUCUUAGACUCGCAAAUUCAUAUCCAAGAUAGUUCUAUAAGACAGAAAUAGCACCAAACAUCUCUUUUAGACCACCGAAUCGACGAAGCCCUUGAAGAACCAAAGGAAACGGUGCAAAAAAUGAAGCGCGGGAAACUCUUAAAGUAUUGGGUCUUGACAAAAAGAAUAUUAAGAAAAAUAGGUUUUUAAUAUCUUAUUUUAGUAUAAAAAUAAAAAAAUAAGAUAUAAUUAAAAACUUGUAUAUUUUUAAAUUAUUUGAUAUUUAUAUAAAAAAUAAUAUAUUAACUUAAAUAAGUUUAAGAUAGCAUAUAAAAUAAUUUAUCAGCUUUAAAUUUUUUUUUUACUUUUACAUGAUACUUAAAAAGGAAUAUAAAUAGAGAAACAAUAUACUAAAUAAAAUAAUUUUAUCUAUAUAUAAAAAUAAUUUAUUAAUUUAAAAUCUAUUUUUAUUUCCUUUUAACCUUUCUUUCCUUUUUUUUUUUUUUUUUCCAUAUUUUCCAAAUACUUCACAUAGCACUCCACUCCCUAUUUUUUUUUUCUCUCUAAAUUUCAGAAACCAAACAUAAAAUACAAACACUGGUGUAAAGUUUGUAUCUUUGUGAAACUCAUGUAAUCUUGACCCAUAGGAACCUUCCCAUAUAAUUAAAGGAGAAUUACCCAAUAGGGUGGGCUUGGUAAAACAAUUACUAGAAAUGGUAGUCUCUUCUAAUAAUUCUUGGGGAGGAUUUUAAUAGGUUUAAUAUACCAAAACUGUCAUUUAACUAAAAUUUUUAAAAUUCAAAGUAUUUAAAGCACUUCACUUGAUUUGUCGAUACAAUUAUAGUACAUGAGUCUCAUAUUUAUUGUAAUUAUUAAUAUUCAAAUUUUAAAUCAAAAUUUUGGGUUUAACCUUUACAAUUAUAUAUAAUUUGUUAUUUAAAUUUACUAUUUAAAACAAAAAUACUUUUAAAAAGUAUUUUCAAAAUAUCAUUUAUUGUUUUUUUUACAUUUUUUAUUUUUAUUCUAAUUUUUAAUUUUAUUAAGAAAAAAAUAAGUUUUAUAAUUAUAUAAUAAAAAUGAUGAUUUUUUCAUAUAUAUAUAUGUAUAUAUUAUAAUUUUAAAUUGAUAAAUUAUGUUUUUGUUUUAAAUUCAAGGAAGAUAAAAUGUUUAAUUUUUCAUUCAGAUUCUUUAAAAAGAAUAAGAAAAUGAUAGAGAAUGUUUAAUAAUUUUUUAUUUUUAUAAUAAAAUAAUUUUAAAAAAUUUAUAUGAUUUUUUUUCCUUUGCAUAGUGUUUUUUUUUUUUUCAUAUAAAAUUUUUUUUCUCAGUACAUCGACUGGAUGAUGUUAAUAUAUUUGAUAUGUUGAAUAUUAAUAAGGUAUAAAAGGUGAUCAUCGAGAUUAUUACUUUUAUUAUAAAAUAUAGGUACAACAAAAAUAUGUUAUAAUUACCAUAUAAAUACACUUACAUUACAAUAAAACCUAAUUAGGAAAUUUUUGAAUUUUUUUAUAAAAAUGAUAAUUUGGUAAGAUCAUACCAUAUUUUAUAACAUACCUAUAUCAUAAAUAAUUUCUGAAACCAAAUGAAAUACUAAUUUGAAUUCACGAGACUUGUAGUUUAUAUAUAUAAAUGAUUAAAUAAUUUCAAAACACUAAAUAAAUGUUGUUAAUAUAUUGAUACGAUGCGUUAAUACCAACGGGGUAUGAAUAAACAUUUUUAAAAUUAUUCCUUUUGUAAUUAAAUAUAGAUAUGACAUAAAUACAUUAUACUUACAAUAUAAAUACGUGUUAUCAUUACAAUAUAUUACAAUAUAAUUUAAUUUAUUUUUAUUUAAUUUUUUCAAGUGUUAUAUUAUCCAAUGAAUAAUUGUGAGUUAUUCUAUUUAAUAGGUGUGUGUUAAUCAAUUGAAUAUUUACAUAUUAUUCAAUUGAUGAGUGCUCGUAAAAAAUAAUUAUUCAUUAUAUUAUGAUAACAAAGUUUUUAAUUAUAUGUUUUAUAUAUAAAACAAUAUAAUAAUUUUAGGAUAUGGUUUUUAUUUAUGAGAUAAUGAAAAUUAUAUUUUUUUAUAAGGUUCUUUAUAAAAUAUAGCAAAUUUUUAAAUAAUCAUUUGAUUGUUCAAAAGUUAAUAAUAAUUUUUUUAAGCUGAGAAAUAUAUUAUUGAUUACUUAUCAUCAUGCAUGAAUUCCACAACAAUCUCAAUUUAUUUAUAAAUAAUAUAAAAACAUAUUAUAGGUAAAAUUAUCUAUAACCGAGAGAGCCUUCAUAAUAAUUAGUUUUUUGGGCUACCCUGUUCGGUAAUUCUCCGUACAAUUAAUUUCCAGCAAAGGCAGGUGAGUGUUGAGGAGACAAAAUCUGACCCGCUGUUGAAGGGAAAAUGCACAAUUAUUGAAGUGGACGGAAACUUUUAACCUUAUCUGUGGAAGCUGGGUCGUUUUUCAAAACACGAGGCUGCAGCUUGGAACCUGGGGCAUUCUAGCUUUCAUCUUCCCAUGGGAAUUUCUACCCUCCGCACAAGUCAAGAGCAACUUUGUCUUUUCCAUAAAUAUUAGUAUUAUUUGUGUGUUCCUUACCUGAAUUUGAUUCAAGCUUAGCCCUACGGCCUUUUCAACUGAUCCAAUUUCAUAGAUCACAUGGAUGCGCCAGUUCUUUUGCUUCUUCUCACUCUGCUUCUAUCUUCUCCACUUCCAUCGUCCACCCUCGACAGUUUGAGUCAAGGCUCAUCCCUCUCAGUUGGGAAGCCUGAACAAGUUUUGAUUUCACAAAGUGGAAUCUUCUCAGCUGGCUUCUACCCCGUCGGUGAUAAUGCUUGUUGUCUUGCCAUAUGGUUCACCAAACCAUCCUACGACGGCAAACAUACCGCUGUUUGGAUGGCAAACCGAAACCAACCAGUUAAUGGGAAUUUCUCAAAGCUUUCCCUUCUAGAAAGUGGUGAUCUUAUCUUAACAGAUGCUGGGCGGUUCAUAGUUUGGACCAUAAAGAGGGUUGGGAUUUCUCCGGUGCAAUUACACCUCUUCAACACUGGUAACCUUGUGCUGCGUACCUCGGAUGGUGUUAUUCAAUGGCAAAGUUUCGAUUCACCAACAGAUACCCUUCUCCCUCACCAACCACUCACCAGAAAUACGAGACUCGUCUCUUCAAGAACCAAAACCAACUUUUUCUCAGGGUUUUAUAAGCUCUAUUUUGACAACAAUAACGUCCUCAGUCUUGUCUUCGAUGGGCGGGAUGCUUCAAGCAUUUACUGGCCCCCAUCGUGGCUUGUAAGCUGGCAGGCGGGAAGAUCGGCAUACAACAGCAGCAGAACUGCAUUACUAGAUUACUUUGGCUAUUUUUCUUCAACCGACGAUUUUAAGUUUCAGUCCUCGGAUUUUGGUGAGAGAGUCCAAAGAAGAUUGACCCUGGAUAUUGAUGGCAACUUACGAUUAUACAGUUUUGAGGAAGGGAGAAAUAAGUGGGUUGUUACUUGGCAAGCCAUCACGCUACAAUGCAACAUUCAUGGAAUAUGCGGACCCAACAGUAUUUGUACCUAUGUGCCUGGUUCUGGGAGUGGAAGGAGAUGCUCUUGCGUACCUGGAUAUGAGAUGAAAAAUCGCACUGACCGAACUUAUGGAUGCAUACCAAAAUUCAAUCUUUCUUGCGACUCACAGAAGGUUGGUUUCCUCCCACUCCCACACGUUGAGUUCUACGGCUAUGAUUAUGGCUAUUACCUCAAUUACACCUUACAGAUGUGUGAAAAACUGUGCUUGAAAAUAUGUGGCUGCAUAGGAUAUCAAUACAGCUAUAAUUCGGAUGUUUAUAAAUGUUGUCCUAAGCGGCUGUUUCUCAACGGAUGCCGCUCGCCUAGUUUUGGAGGACAUACAUAUCUAAAAUUGCCUAAAGCUAGUCUUCUUUCCUAUGAAAAACCAGUUGAGGAAUUCAUGUUAGAUUGCUCAGGCAACCGCUCAGAGCAGCUAGUAAGAUCUUAUGCAAAAGCCCGCGAAAAUGAAGUGUUAAAGUUCAUCCUCUGGUUUACGUGCGCAAUUGGAGCAGUUGAGAUGAUUUGCAUCAGUAUGGUGUGGUGUUUCUUGAUGAAGGCCCAGCAAAACACCAGUACAGAUCCGCCAGGCUACAUUUUAGCUGCCACGGGAUUCAGAAAAUUCACCUAUAUUGAGCUGAAGAAAGCAACACGGGGUUUCAGUGAGGAGAUUGGCAGAGGAGGGGGUGGGGUUGUAUAUAAAGGUGUCUUAUCAGACCACCGAGUGGCAGCCAUCAAGCAGCUCAGUGGAGCUAACCAAGGAGAAUCUGAAUUCUUGGCAGAAGUAAGUACCAUUGGGAGGCUUAACCACAUGAACUUGAUAGAGAUGUGGGGUUAUUGCUUUGAGGGGAAGCACAGGCUCUUGGUUUAUGAAUACAUGGAGCAUGGAUCACUAGCACAAAACCUCACUUCCAAUACACUUGAUUGGCAGAAGAGGUUCGAUAUUGCGGUGGGCACAGCAAAAGGUCUGGCUUAUUUACACGAAGAGUGCUUGGAGUGGGUUAUACACUGCGAUGUGAAGCCUCAAAACAUACUCCUAGACUCUAAUUAUCAGCCAAAGGUGGCAGACUUCGGCCUGUCAAAGUUACAGAACAGAGGAGGAAUCAACAAUUCGAGAUUGUCGAGGAUCAGAGGAACGAGAGGUUACAUGGCUCCAGAAUGGGUUUUGAACCUCCCCAUCACCUCCAAAGUAGACGUUUAUAGCUAUGGUAUUGUGGUUCUGGAGAUGAUUACCGGCCUAAGAAGUGUUGCAAAUGCCAUCCACGGUACAGAUGGCAUAGGGGAACGUCAGAGUUUGGUGGCAUGGGUGAAAGGGAAGAUGAAUAGUGCAACUGCAGUUGCUUCGUGGAUUGAAGAAAUCCUAGACCCGUCGAUGGAAAGCCAAUAUGACAUGGGUGAGAUGGAAAUUCUAGUAGCAGUGGCUCUGCAAUGUGUGGAAUUGGACAAGGAUGAAAGACCCACCAUGAGUCAGGUGGUCGAGACGCUUCUCCGCCCUGAACGUGGAAACAAUCAUCACUAUUAAUAAAUCAAUGCCUCGUAUGGGGCCCAAGUGAAGUGGCUUUCUAUACCUAUUCCGCCCAUUUAUGAUAUUUGUAAAAAAACAGAGUAAUUUUAUUCCCAAUAUCUCUCCUUGGUGCUCUUAUCUUAUUAAACUCCUUUUUUUUUUUUUGCAAUAUUAACUAUUAUAUUUUAUAAAAUCCUUUUUAAAAUUUGUUGAAUUUGAUCUAUUUUAUCCUCACAUAAUUUGUAGCAGGAGAAGUUUUUCUCCUCAUCAUAGAACAAAUUCUUAUAUAUGUAGUAUACAUAUAUGAAAGGUAUAAAUGGUUUUAGCUUUAGUUGAUAUCAUAUAAUUUCUCAUUGAAUCUAUUCUAAUGUGACUUUAAAAUUUUUCAAAAUAUAAAUCAAUUCCUCUUCCUUUGUGUGUUAGUGAAUGAAUUAGUUUAAAUGUCAUAGGUUUUGACUUUUUAGACAGCUAUUUAACCUAUUUUAAAUAGCUCUGCAUCACACCAUCACUUCAACCUUCCUUGACAUUUUUUUAUUUAUUUAUUUUAAUUACCUUUGGAUGGUAUCAUUGCUCGGAAAAAUUUGAUGAAUGUAAAAGGGAAAUGGAAAAUCGUGGGGCACACAUACAUUAUGGAGUCAAAAUCUUUGAAAGAUGUAAAAUUGUCGUGCAAUUCAAUCUAAUGUAGAUGGACAAAAAUGUCAUCUUAUUGAUCAAGCAUAGAUGGAAAAUCAAAUGAAUGAGCCACCCUGCAAAUGUUUAUUUUCAAGUAUUUCUUUUUUUUUUUCAACUUAAGACCUCUUUUUGGAAAUUUAUUAUUAAAAAUAUUUUAAUCUCUAAUUUUUUAUAAGUGUCUUUUCAUAAGCAUGUUGAUUAGAAAGAAACAAAAAUAUAUUUUUAAAUUAUUUAAUCUAACACAAGAAAGACAAGUAAAAUUUUAUAAAAAUAAUUUAUUAAUUUUAAAUUUAUAUUUUAUUUUCAUUCAUUUGACAUACCUUCAAUAAUUAGUAUAAAUUAAUAUAAAUGUUUUAUAUAAUUCGUUUACAUGCAUUGUAUAUUAUGUACAAACAGGAACAAAAUGAAUGAGCCACUGUAUGUGACAAAUAAAUACAUUUUUAUAAAAUCUAAAUUUAAUUUUAUAGUAUAUGACAUGGAUUCUGGCGUCAUCUUCCACAUCACUGAACUUCUUCUUUACCUAUUUCAUUGUUCUCUGCUUCCAACGCUUCCCACUAUGAACGUCUCUAGAAAAAACUGUCCGGUGUGGCUCUCCUCUUGGCUCUACCACAGUUGAGAUUUUCGGCUUGAUGCCUUCGCUCUAUCUCAGGUGGUCGGCUUUGGAGCAUGGAUGGCUGCAGAUCUGCCAAGUUGUUGGCCAUGAAUCUCCCGAAUCCACUUGCUGCUAACCGUUUGUAUUAUUCAAUUGUUGAAGGCCGAUUUGAGUUGAAAGGCCAAUGGGCCAUGGGAAGCAAUGGUUGCUUCACCCAAUUUUUUAAAAUUCGUUUUAAGUAAUACCAAAAUUUUUAUUGUAUGAAGUAUUGAUGUUAUUAUUAUCUUUUCAUAUUGAUUUUAUUUUUUAAUUUUUUUUUCUUAGGAUUUUUUUUCUUUUCACUUUUUCUCCCACCUUUCUUUUAUUUAUAUUUUCUCAUAAUCAAAUAUGGCCUUAAAUUUAAUCGCAAGCAAAGUGUUAUGUAGACAAUUAAUAUGUUCUUACUAUUUUGCUUUUAUGGCCAUUAAAUUUAAGGACUUCAGGUGAUGGCAAUAGGGUGAUUUUUUUUAGGUAAUAGUCCAACCUGCUUCUAAUAGGAUGAGUUUGAAAUUUAAAUAAAUGAGUUUGAAGUAAAUUUAAGUUUUUUUAAACUCAAAAUGAGUUUGGAUAUUGUCACAUCCCAAUUAUAUAUAAAAUUAAUUUAAUUUGAUUUUUUAUUUUUUUAUUUUUAAUAAUAAUAAUAAUAAAAAAAUACUUUUUUAAUAAAAUAAGUUAUAAAAAUUUAUAAUAAUCUAAUUAUAUAAAAUAUCUUUAUUUUAAUGUAAUUAAAUACUCUAAUAAGUUAUAAAAAUUUAUAAUACUCUAAUUAUAUAAAAUACAUUUUAAAUAAUUUUAAAUGAGGUAAGGUAGGACGAGUAUGAGAAUUUUUUUUACCUAUCCCACCCCGUCCUGUCAUGUUUAAUUUUUUUAAUGGUACAAGGUUGGAAUAUGUGCUUUCUAUUCUAAACCGGUCUCAUUAUCAUCCCUUCAUGUGUCUGCAUGAAUAUAAGAUAUUAGUGAAAAGUUUGAAGUAUGAUAUUAAAAAUUCAAUUCACCAUUUAUUUUGUAAUUAUACUUCUAAAUAUAAGCAUGAAAGGGCGAAUUGACAUAAUAGAAGGCCUAACUGCUCAUGUUUUUAUUUAUUUAAAUUAAUAUUUAUUAAUAAUUUAUUUAUGUAAUAAAAAAUUUGUAAUUCAAAAUUUGAUUUUACUAAGUGAAGUACCUGAUGUCCAGAACUGGAGGAACCUAAAGAAAGAGAAGAACAAAAAGUGACACCAAGACAUAUCCCAAAAGCCUAAUGGCCCAUCCCCCUACAAAUUCUAGCUUUAUAAUUAUUGUCCUAAAAGAAAAAGAUGAACAAGUGUUUUUUCGUCAUAUAAUGUUAAAAAAUUAAAGUAUCAAUUUUUUUUUUUUAAACUUUCUACCAAAAAUAAUUUAAUUUCAUAUUUCUAAUUGUUUUUUUUAAACCUUUUGUCACUUAUUAUUUAUUUUUUAAAUAUUUUUACUAAAUUUAAAAAGAAAAAAAUAUAUAUAUUUUAAAUAUUAAAAAUAAUCUAUUAAUUUUUCUUUACUUAAUAAAAAUAAUAUAUUUAAAAAAAUAAAUAACUUAAUAAUUAAUAUUAUUAAACACUAUUUAAUUUUAAAUUCAAUUUACAAUUAAGUUUAAAAAACACCACUUAAAUGUCAUUAUUGCAACGGACAACAACAUUAACUCUACUCUUUUAUAAAAUCUUUUAUUUUAGGAAAUUUUAAUUUCCAAAUGAAGUAGUUAAGAGAAAAAUAAACAUUGUGGUUGAACUUAAUCGAAAUAAAUAAACCAUAAAAAAACACUUGAAUGGAUUAAGGACCCUUUUUUUACGCCAAGGUGGUGGUGAUAUAUUGAUUUGAGUAAGAAUUUUAUAAUUUCCCAAAAGAAAGAUAAAGUGGAAAAGCAACAUUUAUUAAAAGAUAGAUACAUUAGAAUAUCAUAUCUAAAUUUAGUAUUUUUCUUUUCUCUUCUUUAUAAAACUAAAUAAUAGAAAUCAAAUACUUUUUCCAACUUCUCGUACUGAACCGUUUCGUUUUUCAUUUCAUCUAAUUUUACCUUCAAUUCAUUUCUUUCCUAUUUUAUUUCUUGAAACAUGUAUUGACUAAAACCUCUGUACCAAUGUUUCAGGACAUGAAGAGGUAGCCAUCCUGCUCCGCCCUCUCCUCCGGGCACAUAAGCUUCUCAACUACCUGGCUCAUCGUGGGUCUUGAGUCCCUGUCUUCCUCUACACAUUCCAAGGCAACUCCAAUCAGAAUUUCCAUCUGGCGCAUGUCGCAUUCGCCUUGCAUCACAGGGUCCAGGAUGUCUUCAAUCCACGACCCCCUGGCACCAAUCCCAUUCAUUCGAUCCCUCAUCCAUUUAAUCAACCCACGCUGCUCUGUCUCUCCUUGGGCAUCAGUAUCGGAGAUAGCAGUUGGGCUCUUCCCUGUCACCAUCUCCAAAACUACGAUUCCAUAGCUAUAAACGUCUACCUUGGAGGUUAUGGGAAGGUUGAAUACCCAUUCAGGAGCCAUGUAUCCUCUGGGUCCUCUGAUCCUCGAGAAACUUGAAUUGUCAAGCCCUCCUCUGUUACGCAGUUUCGACAUCCCAAAAUCGGCCACUUUUGGCUGGUAAUUAGAGUCCAAGAGUAUGUUCUGAGGCUUGACGUCACAGUGCAGAACCCACUCCAAGCAUUCUUCGUGUAAAUAAGCUAGGCCUCUGGCCGUGCCAAGCGCUAUUUGGAACCUCUUCUCCCAAUCAAGAGUAUUGGAAGAUAGCUUUUGUGCCAAGGAUCCAUGUUCCAUGUACUCAUACACCAAAAGCCGGUGCUUCCCCUCUAUGCAAUAUCCCCACGUCUCUAUUAAGUUCAUGUGAUUAAGCCUUCCAAUGGUGCUCACUUCUGCUAGAAAUUCUGCUUCUCCUUGAUUGGCUUCUUUGAGGCGCUUGAUUGCUGCCACUCGACGAUCAAGCAAUACACCUUUAUAUACCAUUCCUCCACCUCCUCUUCCAAUCUCUUGGGUGAAACCUCGCGUGGCCUUCUUCAACUCUGCAUAACUGAAUCUUUUAAACCCGUUUGCAGCGAGGAUGUAGCCUUGCAUGGUGGAGACUGGAUCAUGGUGUACCCUAACUAAGAAAAUCCAUACCAGCAAGACAAUUGCCGUCUCUACAACUCCCAGUACGAAGGCAAACCAUAGCAAAAACUUCAAUGACCCAUUUUCAUGGCCCUUGCGAUAUGUUGUAUCUAGCUGUAUAUAACGAGUGUUGCCUGAACAAUUUAUGGUGAAUUCUUCAAGGGGAUCAUAUCUGGGAAAGAGACUAGCUUUAGGCAGUUUUAGAUACAUGGUUCCAGGGUAAUUUGGCGAACUGAAUCCAUUAAGCAAGAGGGUCUUUGGGUAACAAUUGUAAAGGCCGUCGCUAAAAUUUAGCAGGAAGGCCUUGCAUUUGCACAACUGUAAGCAUAGAUUUUCACACCUUUCAUAGGUGUAGUUGGGGUAGUGACCAUAGUCAUAGCCGUAGAGUUGAACAUGAGGGAGUGGGAAGAAGCCCACCUCAGUUUGGUUACAAGCGAUAUCAGUUUCUGGUGCACACCCAUAAGACCAGUCAGUUGAAUUUACAAUCUUGAAUCCAGGCAUGCAAGAGCAUCCUCUGCCAUAAGCAGGGGUGUAACUGCAGAGACUGUUGGGUCCGCAGAUGCCAUGAAUCUGGCAUGGUUGGGAGAUAGCCUGCCAUGAAACCGACCAGGUUCCUCUCGUUUCUUCUAGACUAUACAUUCUAAGAUUGCCAUCGAAAUCGAGGGCCAAUCUUCUCUGAGGCCCCGCCCCAAAAUCCGCUGACCGAAAUUCCAAAUCAUCUGAUGCUCUAUAAUAACCCAAAGAAUCGAAUACUGCGAUUCGACUGUCGUUGAAUGUUUUCCUUCCAGCAUCCCAGGUCACCAGGCUUGGGUCUGGCCAGUAGAUGCUGGAAACCUCAGUACCAUUGAAGAGAAGGCGGACGACGUUAUCACUGUCAAAAAAUAGCUUAUAAAAACCAGAAGAAUAGUUGCUUUGGCUUCUUGAUGAGAUAAGGCUGGUAUCUUUGGUCAGUAUCUGGUGAGGAAGAAGAGUAUCUGUGGGUGAGUCAAAGCUCUGCCAAAUCACCGUCUUCUCCCAAGCAUACAGUACAAGAUUGCCUGUGUUAAGGAGCUGUAAUCUCACAGAGGAGGUUGAAACGGUGUUGAUCAUCCAAACCAUGAUUUUACCAGCAUCAGUUAAGAGGAGAUUGCCAUUCCUCAACAAAGAAAGCUUGGAGCCUCUACCGUUGACCGGUUGGUCACGGUUCGCCAUCCAAACUGUGGUUGCACCCAAUGAUUUUGUGAACCAUAUGGCGAAGCAGAAAGUGUUGUUGCCGACCUGGUAAAACCCAGCAGAGAAUAUACCAUUUGCUGAAAUGAGAACGUCACUUGAUUUCUCCGCAGAAAGAGAUGAGCCUUCGCUCAGAGUAUCAUACGUGUCAGAUGAAGAUGGAUAGCAAGUUAAUAGCAAAGCCAAAACAAAGAAACCAACUGUCCUAUCCAUGAGUUUUAAGAUAUGGUUUAUGUGCUCUGUUUCUCGGAUAUUUGCAAUGGAGAAUACAAGUGCAUG